UACAGAGGGUGCGAGCGUUAAUCGGAUUUACUGGGCGUAAAGGGCGCGUAGGCGGUUAGUUAAGAUAGAUGUGAAAUCCCUGGGCUUAACCUAGGAACUGCAUCUAUAACUGGCUAGCUAGAGUACUGUAGAGGGUAGUGGAAUUUCCGGUGUAGCGGUGAAAUGCGUAGAGAUCAUGAGGAAGACCAGUGGCGAAGGCGGGUCUCUGGACAGUUCCUGACACUGAGGCACGAAGGCCAGGGGAGCAAACGGG
Molecule: ribosomal RNA, 253 nt
Filed under: uncultured prokaryote
Description: partial 16S ribosomal RNA
Rfam family: Bacterial small subunit ribosomal RNA
Source: RNAcentral